UAGCUUUAGAGCAUCAAUAGGGCAAGUCUCUUGCUUUGGGGGUGGAGGUGGGCAUGGCACUGGAGGUGGCGGAGGAGGGCAUGGUGUUUCAGUUGGCGGUGGCUUCACAACAGGAGGCUUUGGUGGUAGAGUUGGCGGUGCUGGUGUUACCGGCGGCGUAGGAUAAUACGGUGGUGUAGGGGUAACAGGAGGCUUUGGUGGUAGAGUCGGAGGCUUGAUCACCGGUGGUUUUGGUGUCGGUGUUACCGGAGGGGUAGGAUAAGGCGGCGGAGUUGGGGUAACAGGAGGCUUUGGUGGUAAAGUUGGUGGGGAAAUGAUUGGUGGUUUGGGUACAUAAGGUGGUGGCUUUACAGUAGGAGGCUUUGGUGGUAAAGUUGGUGGGGAAAUGAUUGGUGGUUUGGGUACAUAAGGUGGUGGCUUUACAGUAGGAGGUUUUGGUAUAUGGGGUGGAUAUACAAUUGGAGGCUUGACAACCGGUGGUUUGGGUACGGUUGGUGGUUUGACAACGGGUGGUUUGGGUACAUAAGGUGGCGGCUUUACAGUAGGAGGUUUUGGUACAUGGGGUGGAUAUACAAUUGGAGGCUUGACAACCGGUGGUUUUGGUACGGUUGGUGGUUUGACAACGGGUGGUUUGGGAACCACCGGAGGUUUGGGUGGCUUAGGUGGGUAGUGUUUGGGAGGUUUAUGGUGAGAGGGUGGCUUUACCUUAGGAGGGUGUUUGGGUGGGAACUUAGGAGGAUGCUUCGGUGAAGGUGGAGUUGG
This 762-nucleotide long non-coding RNA is filed under the name Jatropha curcas. RNAcentral's name for it is "long non-coding RNA (JCUR_LNC000704)". Lineage: Eukaryota; Viridiplantae; Streptophyta; Magnoliopsida; Malpighiales; Euphorbiaceae. The record is from RNAcentral.